Molecule: Y RNA, 176 nt
Filed under: Theropithecus gelada (gelada)
Lineage: Eukaryota; Metazoa; Chordata; Mammalia; Primates; Cercopithecidae
Description: Y RNA (ENSTGEG00000012308.1)
Rfam family: Y RNA
About the family: Y RNAs are components of the Ro ribonucleoprotein particle (Ro RNP), in association with Ro60 and La proteins. The Y RNAs and Ro60 and La proteins are well conserved, but the function of the Ro RNP is not known.
Source: Rfam by way of RNAcentral
GGCUAGUCCAAAGGUAGUGAGCUAUCUCAACUGAUUGUUCCCAGUCAGUGACAGGGUUACAGAUUUAGGUAGUGAGCUAUCUCAACUGAUUGUUCCCAGUCAGUGACAGGGUUACAGAUUUAAUUCCUUGUUCUACUUUUUCCCCCCUUCUCGCUACUGUACUUGACUAGUCUUAA